This 253-nucleotide ribosomal RNA is filed under the name uncultured bacterium. RNAcentral describes it as "partial 16S ribosomal RNA". It matches the Rfam family "Bacterial small subunit ribosomal RNA", at positions 524 to 776 of the family's 1533-position model. The record is from RNAcentral.
UACGGAGGGUGUAAACGUUGCUCGGAAUUAUUGGGCGUAAAGCGCACGUAGGCGGUCUAGCAAGUCGGGUGUGAAAGCCCUCAGCUUAACUGAGGAAGUGCAUUCGAAACUACUAGGCUUGAGUACUGAAGAGGACGACGGAAUUCCCGGUGUAGAGGUGAAAUUCGUAGAUAUCGGGAGGAACACCAGUGGCGAAGGCGACUUACUGGACGAUUGUUGACGCUGAGGUGCGAAAGCGUGGGGAGCAAACAGG